RNAcentral lists this transfer RNA (67 nucleotides) under Dipodomys ordii (Ord's kangaroo rat). It matches the Rfam family "tRNA". From Rfam's summary of the family: Transfer RNA (tRNA) molecules are approximately 80 nucleotides in length. Their secondary structure includes four short double-helical elements and three loops (D, anti-codon, and T loops). Lineage: Eukaryota; Metazoa; Chordata; Mammalia; Rodentia; Heteromyidae. The record is from Rfam by way of RNAcentral.
UGGGGUAUAGCUUAGUGGUAGAGCACAUGCAGACAUGAGGUUCUAGAUUCAAUUCCCAGCACCCCCA